This is a long non-coding RNA of Canis lupus familiaris (dog), 2279 nucleotides long. RefSeq lists it as uncharacterized. Lineage: Eukaryota; Metazoa; Chordata; Mammalia; Carnivora; Canidae. The transcript is spliced from 4 exons. The record is from RefSeq and is a predicted model, not a curated record.
AACAUUGCUUAGCCCUCUUCUAGGCCUUUCCAGCGCCUGGCGAUCAAUAUUCCUGCAUUCCCAGGGCACCUGCUCUUUGUGAUUAUUUGGUCGCAGUCACAUCACAGGACAACAUCUCCCUAGAGGAUGACAGUCCUUUCAGGGCCGGGCUCAGGACUGAUGCCUUUGUGUUCCCAGAGCACCUGGCACCAUGGGGUCCCGGGGCACAGGUGCCCUUCCAGCCCUGUCUCAGAGGCCUCCCGCCACCUGGCCUCCUCUCUAGAACAGAAGCUCUGCUUGGACCUCAGUCCACAGCUCAGGCUGGGAGAGAGAGGGCCCGCUCAGCAGUGAGAUCUCCCCGGAACCCAACUGCAACAGCUCAACUUUAAUCUUCCACAGUUUUUCACACCAGCGCCCUCUUCCUAACCUACUUCGUUCCGUAGGUCCCAGCUCCUAGACCGGCAGCAGAUGAUGGAGAGGAACCCAGGGCAUUUGUGCCGCUGCUGCUCUCUGCUGGCCAGAGGAGUCUCUGCAGUCCAGGCCUAGCCUCUUGCAUUUAGGUGCAGGAUGGAUGGAUCCAGAAGGACACAAAGGCAGCCAAGCCAAAGACAGUCUAUGUAUUUUAGGAUGCCCCAUCCAAGAGAGCCUGGAACCCCCUAGCCAUGUUUUCCCAGCCCGACCCCAGUACCCUGCCCAUCCAAAGCUGGCCGUUGCUGCCCCUACCUGGAAAACACCUGGCUGUUGCUAUGGUCACUGUUGUCAUGGGCAACGUUGGCAUUGGCAUUGUUGGUAUUGGCACGAGCAAGGGGGUUGGUUCUAGGAUCUUGAGGGAAAUCCUCCAAGAAGACGGGUGAUUCCAGCUCUUCCAUCUCUAUCUCAGCAAACUGGAGGGGUCUCUGGUUGGCCAUGACAGGGGGCAGGGAGUUGGUCCUUUCCAGGAAGUUGUCCACCUGGCCAAAGAGGCCUCCGGUCCUCUAGGGGCAAGGAGGAGAGCGUCAGGGCUGGGGACAGUGACUGGGGGAUGAGAGCUGAGCGUGCAUGAGGACUGCCAUCCUGGGAACGAGUGAUGGAUUAGAAGACAAAUCCCAUAAGGCCAGAGGAGAAUGGACUGGGCUAUAGGGUCAGAGAAGAGAUCAUCCCCCUUCAAUGAGUUCUCAGCUGAGUGAGGUAGACAGGACGCAUCUAGGGAACUACGUAGGAGACACAGACAACCAGAUAGGGAAAUCCCUUCUCAUGGAAAAAACACCGGAUUGGGAGUCUGGGGACCCCCUGGUUCUAGUCCCACCUCUAAAACUAACUUGCUGAGUGAUAUUAGAUAUCUCAUAUCAUCUCUUUGGGCUGCCAUUUCCUCAGGGAUAACCCAAAAAGGUUUAACUGGUUGGUCUUAAAGACCUUUUGGUUCCAUAGUGUCGUAAAAAACACCAGACAGAGCUAAGGAUUGAGGACCAGUGUAACUGGAAGCAGGCAGGGCAUGGGGUGAUGAAGGGAUUCCAAGAGGUGAAUGCCGACCGACCGGGGCUUAAGGGGCGGUGAGGACAGGCGUGAGGCUUCGUGGAGGGAGGGAGGAGGGUAUGAUUGUAUUUGACAACUGCAGUAGGUUGGGUCAUUGACUCUGAGUCCCAAGAGAUGUGGGCUGUGGGUGUCUUUGGUUUCCAAAUUCCCCACCUAUAGGGCUGGGCUCCUGGCCCUUGUUUCUCUGGGCGGUUGCUGCUCCCUGUGCCUAGAACACGUGGCACGGUCACAGCCCUCACUCACCCGGAAUAUCCCUUCCUCCAUCGCAGCCUCCACCAUGGCUCUCUCCAGCUCCUCUUCAGCUGUCAGGUCUCCUGAGAUGACGUGUAUCCUAAAUCUAUCAUGAGGAAGCAUGACAUGAAUUCAGACUGUAGGAUCCUGGUAAUAAUCUUCAAAAGGGUCAAGGUCAUGUCAAGAAAAGCUGGGGAACUAUUCUGGAUGGAAGAGUCUAAAAACUAAACGCUUUGCGUGAACCCGGAUUGGAUCCUCUUCCUACGAGGGACGUUACUGGGACAGCUGGUGAAAUUAUAUGAGGCCUGAGGAUUUGAUGAUAGGAAAGUCCCAACGUUAAUUUCCUGACUCUGGGGCUUGCCUUGCCCAGAAUCAUGGUCAUGUAGGAGAAUUAUGGAGAAUGUUCUGGGUUGAUAGAACAUUAUGUUGGGAAUUACCCUCAAAUGGUUCCGAAAAAACGGUGUUUGUCUUACACAUGCAAAUUCUAAACGCGCUGUGAGAUUAUUUUAAAGCAAAAACUCAAAAACUGCAAUUGAAAUACGUUUUUGAGCACACAG